This 506-nucleotide ribosomal RNA is filed under the name uncultured bacterium. RNAcentral describes it as "bacterial SSU rRNA". It matches the Rfam family "Bacterial small subunit ribosomal RNA", at positions 21 to 518 of the family's 1533-position model. The record is from RNAcentral.
GGCUCAGGAUGAACGCUAGCUACAGGCUUAACACAUGCAAGUCGAGGGGCAGCAUUGGAGUAGCAAUACUCAGAUGGCGACCGGCGCACGGGUGAGUAACACGUAUCCAACCUGCCGCUUACUCGGGGAUAGCCUUUCGAAAGAAAGAUUAAUACCCGAUGGUAUAAAGAGUUCGCAUGUUCUCUUUAUUAAAGAUUUCGGUAAGCGAUGGGGAUGCGUUCCAUUAGAUAGUUGGCGGGGUAACGGCCCACCAAGUCUACGAUGGAUAGGGGGUUCUGAGAGGAAGGUCCCCCACAUUGGAACUGAGACACGGUCCAAACUCCUACGGGAGGCAGCAGUGAGGAAUAUUGGUCAAUGGACGAGAGUCUGAACCAGCCAAAAGUAGCGUGAAGGAUGACUGCCCUAUGGGUUGUAAACUUCUUUUAUAAGGGAAUAAAGUGAGGGACGUGUCCCUUUUUGUAUGUACCUUAUGAAUAAGGAUCGGCUAACUCCGUGCCAGCCGCGGC